GAUGAAGAACGUAGCGAAAUGCGAUACUUGGUGUGAAUUGCAGAAUCCCGUGAACCAUCGAGUCUUUGAACGCAAGUUGCGCCCGAAGCCAUUAGGCCGAGGGCACGCCUGCCUGGGCGUCACACGUCGUUGCCCCCCCAUCUACUCCUUCGGGAUUGCGGGGGGCGGAUGAUGGCCUCCCGUGCGCCUCGCCGCGCGGUUGGCAUAAAUGCCAAGUCCUCGGCGACGCACGCCACGACAAUCGGUGGUUGCGAAACCUCGGUUGCCCGUCGUGUGCGGUCGUCGCGCAUCGAGGGCUCGAAAAUAUUGCCGGGUUCCGGCUCGGCUUUCAACGCGACCCCAGGUCAGGCGGGGUUACCCGCUGAAUUUAAGCAUAUCAAUAAGCGGAGGA
This 391-nucleotide unclassified non-coding RNA is filed under the name soil metagenome. RNAcentral's name for it is "partial contains 5.8S ribosomal RNA, internal transcribed spacer 2, and large subunit ribosomal RNA". The stretch from base 1 to 122 matches the Rfam family "5.8S ribosomal RNA", at positions 35 to 154 of the family's 154-position model. The record is from RNAcentral.